UACAGCGAAACUGCGAAUGGCUCAUUAUAUAAGUUAUCGUUUAUUUGAUAGCACCUUACUACUUGGAUAACCGUGGUAAUUCUAGAGCUAAUACAUGCUAAAAGUCCCGACUUCGGAAGGGAUGUAUUUAUUAGAUACAAAACCAAUGCCCUUCGGGGCUCAAUGGUGAUUCAUGAUAACUUCUCGAAUCGCACGGCCUUGCGCCGGCGAUGGUUCAUUCAAAUUUCUUCCCUAUCAACUUUCGAUGUUUGGGUAUUGGCCAAACAUGGUGGCAACGGGUAACGGAGGGUUAGGGCUCGACCCCGGAGAAGGAGCCUGAGAAACGGCUACUACAUCCAAGGAAGGCAGCAGGCGCGCAAAUUACCCAAUCCCGACUCGGGGAGGUAGUGACAAUAAAUACUGAUACAGGGCUCUAUUGGGUCUUGUAAUUGGAAUGAGUACAAUUUAAAUCCCUUAACGAGGAACAAUUGGAGGGCAAGUCUGGUGCCAGCAGCCGCGGUAAUUCCAGCUCCAAUAGCGUAUAUUAAAGUUGUUGUGGUUAAAAAGCUCGUAGUUGAACCUUGGGCCUGGCUGGCCGGUCCGCCUCACCGCGUGCACUGGUCCGGCCGGGCCUUUCCUUCUGUGGAACCCCAUGCCCUUCACUGGGUGUGGCGGGGAAACAGGACUUUUACUUUGAAAAAAUUAGAGUGCUCCAGGCAGGCCUAUGCUCGAAUACAUUAGCAUGGAAUAAUAAAAUAGGACGUGUGGUUCUAUUUUGUUGGUUUCUAGGACCGCCGUAAUGAUUAAUAGGGACAGUCGGGGGCAUCAGUAUUCAGUUGUCAGAGGUGAAAUUCUUAGAUCUACUGAAGACUAACUACUGCGAAAGCAUUUGCCAAGGAUGUUUUCAUUAAUCAGGAACGAAAGUUAGGGGAUCGAAGACGAUCAGAUACCGUCGUAGUCUUAACCAUAAACUAUGCCGACUAGGGAUCGGACGAUGUUAUUUUUUGACUCGUCCGGCACCUUACGAGAAAUCAAAGUGCU
RNAcentral lists this ribosomal RNA (1020 nucleotides) under Hapsidospora curva. RNAcentral describes it as "SSU rRNA". It matches the Rfam family "Eukaryotic small subunit ribosomal RNA", at positions 77 to 1107 of the family's 1831-position model. The record is from RNAcentral. Lineage: Eukaryota; Fungi; Ascomycota; Sordariomycetes; Hypocreales; Bionectriaceae.